This 116-nucleotide ribosomal RNA is filed under the name Escherichia coli. Lineage: Bacteria; Pseudomonadati; Pseudomonadota; Gammaproteobacteria; Enterobacterales; Enterobacteriaceae. RNAcentral also lists the same sequence under 3 other names. The record is from RNAcentral.
CCUGGCGGCCGUAGCGCGGUGGUCCCACCUGACCCCAUGCCGAACUCAGAAGUGAAACGCCGUAGUGCCGAUGGUAGUGUGGGGUCUCCCCAUGCGAGAGUAGGGAACUGCCAGGC